GACGAACGCUGGCGGCGUGCUUAACACAUGCAAGUCGAGCGGGGAGGCGUUUUCGGCGACCGGCUGCUGAGGCUCAAGGGUCACAGGAGCAGGUGCUGGAAGGACUUCCAGCGGCGGACGGGUGAGUAACGCGUGAACAAUCUGUCCCAGACAGGGGGAUAACAGAUGGAAACAUCUGCUAAUACCGCAUAAGACCACGGAGCCGCAUGGCACUGGGGUAAAAGGAGCAAUCCGGUUUGGGGUGAGUUCGCGUCUGAUUAGCUAGUUGGUGAGGUAACGGCCCACCAAGGCGACGAUCAGUAGCCGACCUGAGAGGGUGAUCGGCCACACUGGAACUGAGACACGGUCCAGACUCCUACGGGAGGCAGCAGUGGGGAAUAUUGGGCAAUGGGCGAAAGCCUGACCCAGCAACGCCGCGUGAAGGAAGAAGGUUUUCGGAUUGUAAACUUCUGUCCUCAGGGAAGAAGGAAGUGACGGUACCUGAGGAGGAAGCCCCGGCUAACU
Molecule: ribosomal RNA, 504 nt
Filed under: uncultured bacterium
Lineage: Bacteria
Description: bacterial SSU rRNA
Rfam family: Bacterial small subunit ribosomal RNA
Source: RNAcentral